Molecule: non-coding RNA, 24 nt
Filed under: Cricetulus griseus (Chinese hamster)
Lineage: Eukaryota; Metazoa; Chordata; Mammalia; Rodentia; Cricetidae
Also listed under: 1 other name
Source: RNAcentral
CGUGGAGAGGAACAAUUCUGAGUC